UCUUCAGUGAGGUACAUCCUUACCUGUUACUCCUCCGGGAGUUACAGAUCAUGAUGAAUGGAGACACAUGAGAUAUGAUUAGUAUCUCCCUCUCUCGGGGAACUGCAACUUUCCGUGAGAGCCAUUCUGAC
This 131-nucleotide small nucleolar RNA is filed under the name Neogobius melanostomus (round goby). RNAcentral's name for it is "U8 small nucleolar RNA (ENSNMLG00000000183.1)". It matches the Rfam family "U8 small nucleolar RNA". Rfam says of the family: U8 is a member of the C/D class of snoRNA which contain the C (UGAUGA) and D (CUGA) box motifs. U8 is the RNA component of a small complex (the U8 snoRNP) which is required for accumulation of mature large subunit ribosomal RNAs, 5.8S and 28S rRNAs. U8 RNA has been identified in human, mouse, rat and Xenopus. Lineage: Eukaryota; Metazoa; Chordata; Actinopteri; Gobiiformes; Gobiidae. The record is from Rfam by way of RNAcentral.